Molecule: microRNA, 22 nt
Filed under: Macaca fascicularis (crab-eating macaque)
Lineage: Eukaryota; Metazoa; Chordata; Mammalia; Primates; Cercopithecidae
Description: microRNA miR-548p-3p
Source: RNAcentral
UAGCAAAAACCACAGUUACUUU